This 399-nucleotide long non-coding RNA is filed under the name Vigna radiata. Its description in RNAcentral is "long non-coding RNA (VRAD_LNC005334)". Lineage: Eukaryota; Viridiplantae; Streptophyta; Magnoliopsida; Fabales; Fabaceae. The record is from RNAcentral.
GGAUAGUAAGACUCCUUGGAUCCUUCAUCUUAGGCGGAUGCUUUCUCUUCUUAGAACGUGUACAACUUUCCUAUUUUUCAUUUUCUUCUUCUUCAAGAUCUAUGACUUCUCCAAAAUAGUACUUUAUUCGCUUGGAGUAAACAGGAAGUUGGUGGAGAACUUCAGUUGAAGGCAUAAUCUUCAUCUGGUUAAAUAUCUCUCUAGAAUGCCCACAAUUUCUUUCUUUUCUCUCAUCUUCACUCUCAUUUUCUCUCUUCUCCUCCUCUUCAUCCUCACUACUCUCUAGCUCAAUUAUCUCUUUUUCCACUCCUCUCUCAUGUAAGCUCACCACAACUUUGCACUCUUCUUUAGGGUUAACAUCAGUAUUAGCCCUAAAUUGGUUUUUUUCUGUGCCUUCCA